Molecule: ribosomal RNA, 441 nt
Filed under: uncultured Kaistia sp.
Lineage: Bacteria; Pseudomonadati; Pseudomonadota; Alphaproteobacteria; Hyphomicrobiales; Kaistiaceae
Description: bacterial SSU rRNA
Rfam family: Bacterial small subunit ribosomal RNA
Source: RNAcentral
UCCUACGGGAGGCUGCAGUGGGGAAUAUUGGACAAUGGGCGCAAGCCUGAUCCAGCCAUGCCGCGUGUGUGAUGAAGGCCUUAGGGUUGUAAAGCACUUUCGCCGAUGAAGAUAAUGACUGUAGUCGGAGAAGAAGCCCCGGCUAACUUCGUGCCAGCAGCCGCGGUAAUACGAAGGGGGCAAGCGUUGUUCGGAUUUACUGGGCGUAACGCGUACGUAGGCGGAUGAUUAAGUCAGGGGUGAAAUCCCGGGGCUCAACCUCGGAACUGCCUUUGAUACUGGUCGUCUUGAGUCCGGGAGAGGUGAGUGGAACUCCUAGUGUAGAGGUGAAAUUCGUAGAUAUUAGGAAGAACACCAGUGGCGAAGGCGGCUCACUGGCCCGGAACUGACGCUGAGGUACGAAAGCGUGGGGAGCAAACAGGAUUAGAUACCCCUGUAGUC